Molecule: non-coding RNA, 30 nt
Filed under: Homo sapiens (human)
Lineage: Eukaryota; Metazoa; Chordata; Mammalia; Primates; Hominidae
Source: RNAcentral
UACUGGCAAAGUUCAAAGUGUUGGCAAGGC